This 190-nucleotide non-coding RNA is filed under the name Bacillota bacterium. Its description in RNAcentral is "6S RNA". It matches the Rfam family "6S / SsrS RNA". From Rfam's summary of the family: E. coli 6S RNA was the first non coding RNA to be sequenced, but its function was unknown until recently. It consists of 184 nucleotides that fold into an extended hairpin structure with a large single-stranded internal bulge. The 6S RNA specifically associates with RNA polymerase holoenzyme containing the sigma70 specificity factor. The record is from RNAcentral. Lineage: Bacteria; Bacillati; Bacillota.
UACAUCCUGAGAUGUGCGUAAGGUGAUUAGUUGUUUAAUCCGAACACUUCUGAUAAAGGGAUCUGGAAGUUCUAUUAUUGUGUUGAAAGCCUAGCCCACCAUGGCCUAGGAAUCCUAAUGUAAUAGACAGGAGCCCACCUGCUAAUUUAGCGGGUUAGUAUCCUAACACCUACGGCAUCUUGGGCCUAAA